Molecule: long non-coding RNA, 1153 nt
Filed under: Bemisia tabaci
Lineage: Eukaryota; Metazoa; Arthropoda; Insecta; Hemiptera; Aleyrodidae
Description: lncRNA ENSSSA1UGG012270
Source: RNAcentral
CUGACCAGUAAGCAUUUUUAGCUUUUUAUACUCAUUAAGAAGUUCUAGUACCUAUAGUCUUUCAACUUUUCAGUGGCAUAUGCAGGAGUAAGUUUUGAGAGAAAGCCUUCGACGACCCACUCGGGGACCUAGGGGAUAUCGAAUACCACUAAAUACAGUGGAAGGCUUCCUCCAACAAAUUGUGAAAAAAUUUUCCUGUUGGUAUACUUUUAUCUUUUUUUUUAACAACUCAAAACCCCUAAUUUUGAAGAUACAUGUGUUCCCACUUUAGGCAUUGAUAUUUUGGAAAAAACUUAAUCAUGCGAGAUAAACUGAGCCUGAAUAUUUAUCAUUACGACUGCUGAGGAAUAGUGCCUUGGAAUAAAAUAGCACGAGUAUAUUAUUUAUUUCAACGCUAACAUUUUCAUACUUUAUAAAUGUUUGUAUCCAUUCAAAGCAAUGUUUGUAACUAAAAUGGGAACCUUCCUAUAUUUUAUCCAUUUUCUUUUUUAUUUGCCCUCUUUUGUUAAAAGUGGACAUCAAAUAUUCAAGGUUCGCUUCACUACACCCAUCAGUCACUCAUGGCGAGUGAUGUUGGGUCCAGGGGGCGGAGCCCCUAUCUAGAUGCUGAGAUACGGGAAGGUACAGCCAAGUACUAAGAUUUUCGAUUUUUUUUUUUUAUAUUUUAACUGUCUUAUAUCCAACUGAAGAAGGCUGAGUUUUCAGGCAAAACGUUUUGGUUUUAUUCGUGUGUAAAGAGCCUUGUUACCCGCUGUUUAUUUGUUCUAUACAUUGAACUUCAUUCAAUUUUUUCCCUUUAGAGUCAAACGAAGAUUUAAGAAAAGACACAGUAAAAGGUCUACAAGAUGUCAACUCCUCCCUUCAACUUUUAACCAAACAAAUGAAGUCUCCUUCAGUGAACUGCACUGAAAGCUUACCAACUCAUCUACCACGGGCUGAAGUAAAAGAAGAAGUUUUGGCUGGUUUACCUCUAAUGGAUAAGGCUGGUUUAAAGAAAUUCAACGAAGACUUGAGCAACGAGGAAUUUUAUAAACACGCAGUCAGUGCAUUAGCAUACACUGCUUCAAAAGCAAAACAUCCCACUGGCACUGCCCGGAAUGUUCUUGGAAAAAUAUUGUCAAAUAAAAUAACCGGCAAAUUUACUUGGAUAUAG